GAAGUCGGCCGGGCAGCCGCUGCGCCUGUUCGCAGGCGUGGAGGAAAGUCCGGGCUCCACAGGGCAGGGUGCCAGGUAACCCCUGGGCGGCGUGAGCCGACGGAAAGUGCCACAGAGAACAGACCGCCGAUGGCCCGGUUCGCCGGGCACAGGCAAGGGUGAAAAGGUGCGGUAAGAGCGCACCGCGCGGGUGGCAACACGCCGCGGCACGGUAAACCCCACCCGGAGCAAGACCAAAUAGGGGAGCGCACGUGUGGCCCGCACGGCUCCCGGGUAGGUCGCUGGAGGUGUGCGGUGACGCACACCCAAGAGGAAUGGCUGCUCUCGACAGAACCCGGCUUACAGGCCGACUUCCCCC
RNAcentral lists this RNase P RNA (358 nucleotides) under Sediminicurvatus halobius. RNAcentral describes it as "Spiribacter halobius Bacterial RNase P class A". It matches the Rfam family "Bacterial RNase P class A". Rfam says of the family: Ribonuclease P (RNase P) is a ubiquitous endoribonuclease, found in archaea, bacteria and eukarya as well as chloroplasts and mitochondria. Its best characterised activity is the generation of mature 5'-ends of tRNAs by cleaving the 5'-leader elements of precursor-tRNAs. Lineage: Bacteria; Pseudomonadati; Pseudomonadota; Gammaproteobacteria; Chromatiales; Ectothiorhodospiraceae. The record is from Rfam by way of RNAcentral.